CAGGCUCUGAUCUAAAGCUUCGGAGCAGAAGGGAGAUCCGGGUUCGCUGCGCUGUCUUUCCUGCGCUGACAUCAUCAGACGGGAGAGUUUUCAGCACAAGAAGCCAGUUGACUGGGAACGGUGGUGAAAUACACUCGCUGAGCACUUUAUUAGGGACACCUGUACAGCUAAAUCUGUAAAAUCAUGCAGAUAGGGGUGAGGAGCUUCAGUUAAUUCACAUCAACCAUCAGAAUGGGGAAAAAAUCGGAUCUCAGUGAUUACGACCGUGGCAUGAUUGUUGGUGCCAGACAAGGUGGUUUGAGUAUUUCUGUAACUGCUAAGCUCCUGGGAUUUUCACGCACAACAGUCUCUAGAGUUUACUCAGAAUGGUGCCAAGAACAAAAAACGUCCAGUAAGCGGCAGCUCUGUGGACGGAAACGCCUUGUUGAUGAGAGAGGACAACGGAGGCUGGACAAACUGGUUAGAGCUGACAGAACGGCUACGGUAGCUCAGAUAACCACCCUGUACAAUUGUGGUGCACAGAAAAGCAUCUCUGAAUUCACAACACGUCGAACCUUGAGGUUGAUGGGCUACAACAAGAGAAGACCACAUACAGUCCCACUUCUGUCAGGGAACAAAAAGAAAGAUGAGGCCGAGGCUGAGGCAGAGGGUGAGGCCGAGGUGGACACAGGCUCACCAAAACAGGACAGUUGAAGACUGGAAAAACGUAACCUUGUCUGAUUAAUCUAGAUGAUGGUAGGUUCAGAAUUUGAACAGCUUGAAUCCAUGGAGCCAACCUGCCUUGUGUCAACAAUCACUGAACAUGUGCAUCCCUCUAUGGCCACAAUUUACCCAUCUUAUAACGGUUACUUCCAGCAUGAUAAUGUCACCAUAUCACAAAGCAAAAGUGGUCUCAAACUGGUUUCAUGAACAUGACAAUGAGUUCACUGUUCUUCAGUGGCCUUCCCAGUCACCGGAUCAGAAUCCAUCUUUUGGGAUGUGGUAGAACGGGAGAUUCGCAGGAUAAAUGUGAAGCUGACAAAUCUGCAGAUAUUGAGUGAUGUCAACAUGGACCAGAAUCUCAAAGGAAUGUUUCCAACAUCUUGUGGAUACAACGUCAUGAAGAACUGAGGCUGUUUUGGGAGCAAAUGGAGACCCUAACCAGAAUUAUUAUUAUGUUCCUAAUAAAGUGCUCAGUGAGGACCAAGUGUUGCAUUCUGGCAGAGAUCCCAAACCCUACAGUAAUCAUGUUUUGACGGAAGACAUCGUAUUUUAGGAAGUUACUCCAGACAACAGUCUCAUUUCCAGACAACGCUUGGCCAAAAGAAGCAGAUAUCCUCACUGGAGAAGUUUUUGCCUGCUCAAAUGGCACCGAAAGCUUAGGGGGUUACAGCCUCCUGAGUGUCAAAACUCGCACUGUGUACACCCGGACUUACUCGUGAUUUGUGUGAAAGUGAAUGAAAAUCAUUGUUGUUUUACCACCUCUUGUGUUAAUUUCACCAGAAAAUUGUCACGAUACAUACAACAAGCCACGUCAUUUUUUUUGUUGUUGCAAAAAUGUUGGUAUAGAAACUUUAUUCUAUGAUGCCAUGUUACAGGAUUCUGCAUCUCACAGUGCAAUGUGCUUGAGUGUGAACCUGGAAGUAGCUAUAUAUCAGCCACAAUUAAGCUCACACAAAAAUUUAAGUUUUGUCAUUUACUUUCCAUGUUUUUUCCAAACCCAUAUGACCUUUAAGGGUUACUGAGGCUAAAAUGAUGCCGAGCAUCUUGUGUUCUAUUGAUGGGUUUGGAACAACAUGAGAGUGAGUAAAUGACAGAAUUAAAAUUUUUGUAUGCGUGAUCCCUUUCUUGACUGAAAGAGUUAGUGAAAUUACGUUUUAUAAUAAGUGGACACCACUUGCGACACAUUGCUUGAAAUGUUUGUUGCAUAAUCCAUUCUGUUUUGCAUACUAUUUUUUUAAAGGGUAACUAAACCCUAAACCAACUUUUUUUAGUUAAUGAUCUGUAAGCAUGGGACUUUAUUAGUACUGGUCAUUGAUUCAAGCAAUUUUUUUGACAUUUGUGUAUAAAGUGUUUUAAUUCUACAAUAUAUGGUGUAAAAACGUCUGAGUGCUGCCCUCUUCAGGUUGAACGGUGGCUACUGCAGUUGAAUUUUCCUAUUGGCUGUUGCGGUACUUCGUGACGUAAGCGGUGACAGCUGACGUAAGCAGGUUCCAGCUCACCACGCCAGAUUCAUGUACAUGUCGUCUUGCGACCGUGUGAGGAAUAAUAAUUACAUAGAGUCCCUCUAUCCCCGCCGGGGUCUGCCCACUUUUCCAGCAUUUUCAAAUAUUUCUAGUGGGUGGAGUCAGACUCUGAGCAGGUGUUUAGUUACCCUUUAAAUGUAGUACUAUGAAGUGUGCAUACUAAUUGUAUCCAAUACACAACACCGUGUGCUCUGUUCACUGCACAUUUCAGCUUUUGUAGAAGGUCAUCAUAAUAUUGGCAUCCAUGUUAUAAUAUGCAGAGUAUACAUACUAAAUACUGCAGAAAUAGUACUAGCAUGGUAGUAUCAAUGACUGGUGCAUCUAAACAUUAAACCAAUUAAUGGCUUUAUUAUUUCAUCAGUUUGGUGGUGAGUUUAAAUGUUCAAGUAAGUGGCAUGCCUUAGGAUCAAUUCGAUUUCGUGAUUUGUCAAAGGUGAAAAUGUCUUGCAUGUGUUGUUCUUUGUAAAUAUUACUGAUUGCAUUUGGUAUAGCCUAUAAUGUACUUUGUAUGCAAUGCUUUAAUGAAACUAUAGAAUAAUUUGGUUGUUGCAUUUAUAAUUUUGCUGUCAUGAUGUGAAAUAAAACAUUGCUUU
Molecule: long non-coding RNA, 2818 nt
Organism: Xyrauchen texanus (razorback sucker)
Lineage: Eukaryota; Metazoa; Chordata; Actinopteri; Cypriniformes; Catostomidae
Exons: 3
Source: RefSeq, a predicted model, not a curated record